This 427-nucleotide ribosomal RNA is filed under the name uncultured bacterium. RNAcentral describes it as "bacterial SSU rRNA". It matches the Rfam family "Bacterial small subunit ribosomal RNA", at positions 35 to 453 of the family's 1533-position model. The record is from RNAcentral.
GCUGGCGGCGUGCUUAACACAUGCAAGUCGAACGGACGGAGGAGAGCUUGCUCUCCAAAGUUAGUGGCGAACGGGUGCGUAACACGUGAGCAAUCUGCCCUCGGGUGGGGGAUAGCCGGCCCAACGGCCGGGUAAUACCGCGUACAGCAUCGGCGUCGCAUGGCGCUGAUGUGAAAGGAACUUCGGUUUCGCCUGAGGAGGGGCUCGCGGCGUAUCAGCUUGUUGGUGGGGUAACGGCCUACCAAGGCUACGACGCGUAGCUGGUCUGAGAGGACGAUCAGCCACAUUGGGACUGAGAUACGGCCCAGACUCCUACGGGAGGCAGCAGUGGGGAAUAUUGCGCAAUGGCCGCAAGGCUGACGCAGCGACGCCGCGUGUGGGAUGAAGGCUUUCGGGUUGUAAACCACUGUCACGGGGGACGAACUCA